GAUGAACGCUGGCGGCGUGCCUAAUACAUGCAAGUAGAACGCUGAAGGAGGAGCUUGCUCUUCUGGAUGAGUUGCGAACGGGUGAGUAACGCGUAGGUAACCUGCCUCGUAGCGGGGGAUAACUAUUGGAAACGAUAGCUAAUACCGCAUGACAACUGUUAUUGCAUGAUAACCGUUUAAAAGGGGCAACUGCUCCACUACCAGAUGGACCUGCGUUGUAUUAGCUAGUUGGUGAGGUAACGGCUCAUCAAGGCGACGAUACAUAGCCGACCUGAGAGGGGGAUCGGCCAAACUGGGAAUGAGACACGGCCCAAACUCCUUCGGGAGGCAGCAGUAGGGAAUCUUCGGCAAUGGGCGGAAGGCUGACCGAGCAACGCCGCGUGAGGGAAGAAGGUUCUCGGAACGUAAAGCUCUGUUUUAAGAGAAGAACGAGUGUGGGAGUGGAAAGUUCACACUGUGACGGUAUCUUACCAGAAAGGGACGGCUAACUACGUG
This 495-nucleotide ribosomal RNA is filed under the name uncultured bacterium. RNAcentral describes it as "partial 16S ribosomal RNA". It matches the Rfam family "Bacterial small subunit ribosomal RNA", at positions 28 to 507 of the family's 1533-position model. The record is from RNAcentral.